Non-coding RNA from Drosophila virilis, 1911 nucleotides. The record is from RefSeq and is a predicted model, not a curated record. Lineage: Eukaryota; Metazoa; Arthropoda; Insecta; Diptera; Drosophilidae.
AUAAUAUACUACACUUUCAGAAAAAUUAACUGUACGAUGGGAGCCAAAAUAGUUUGGCCACACCCACUUUUGCUAGCAGUUUGGCUAAGGCUGUUAAACCUCACCUCAUGCAGUUUGCAGAAUACGAUAGACCAUUGAUGGCAGCAGCACUCGAGCACAGCUCCUGCUGCUUCUCCCCUCUGUCGUCGGCGCCUGCUGCGGUUGCUGCUCCUCAUGAGCUGAUGCGCAAUUAAUAUGGCAAAUCAGGAGACGUCACCAAACGCAACCUGAGCCUGCCCACACACAUUUGGUCCUGAUUGUGUGUGUGCCAUUGGGGCACACAUAGAUAGAUACACACAUACACCUACACACACACAUACAUGCCUAACCCUAACCCGCCGCAGGUCAAGGUUGGCUUUAUGUUGCCCUCUGCAUAUGAGCGUUCCCCCGACCACGCCCCACCCACUUUUGUGGGGGUGACAGCCUUUUAUAUUUAUGGCCACUACGUGUUGUAAUGGGCGUGUUGCUUUCUGGUUUUCCAUUUUUUUAAGGGCCAAAGCGACAACAUAAAACAGUCGUCAAAUUUAUUAAGUGACAUUAUGCCAAGGCAAAAACAACAGAACCAUAAAAAAGGCAUUUGUCGGACACACACACAUACACACACACGCACUGUUGCAACAAAAAAGUUAGAGCUUAAUGGAAAGGGGAAAAUAGCAGCUGAAAGUCGGGAAAACGAAAAACUCAUUUCAAGUUAAUUAGACGAGCGCGGAAAAACAGAACAUGGUGCAAGAAACACAAGAGAAAAAAACUAGAGGAAAACCUCUGCAAAGUAUGUAGAAACAAAAUUUUUGUUAGCCUGGCCAACUGGCCAACCGAAAAAUGCGCGGAAAAAACCAAAAACAACAGGAGCGUAUGACUAUCUACAUUAGGCCGAAGCUGAAAUACUCUUGCCAAAUGAUAAAGUAAACCGAUUUGAUAUUUAUUUGGCAGACAGACGAAUAGAGCUACAAGGACUCAAGAAUUGAUACUGAUCAAGAACACAUUACACUUUAUGUGAGCUGUCUUUUUGGAAGCGUUGCACACGUCGUGAUAAACUAAUAAUACCCUCGACAAGGGCGUAGAAAGGAAACCUAAAAGGAAAACAAGGACUCAAGAGCAUAAUGAAAUUGUUGGCCAAACUGUUGAGGCUAUAAAUUAAAUAUUAAUUAAUUGGCCAGUCUGUCUGUUCGCGGCCAAAAAAUGCUGAAAGGGAAAAUAACUCGCUUCAAGGUUGCGCCGCUCUGUCAGAAGGCAACCGUGUAUUUUCUAAUUGCUCAUCAACCGUGUGAUUGUCAUGCCCCAUUCCCCAUGCCCCGUGCUCCAUGCCAGCCGUGCCACGCCCCGCGCUCAUUUAGUUGGCUAAUUGCAUUUUAUUUAAUUUGCCUGCCUUAUUGGCGACAAUUUGCUGCCAAUUCAAUUCGCUGUAACUUGGCAAAAUUUCAAUCACAUUGGCCUUCAAAACUUGACAUCCAAAAUGUGGCAAGCAAAAGUACCUGCCUGCCUGCCCCACCGAUCGACCGCACCACCAAGGCCCCCGUCAAAUGAAGUGCUGGACAUUUUUUACAUUCCUUGUGCUGGGCAACUGUUGCAGGAUUCUUGCUGGCUCUCUUUGUAACUCAGUUUGUCACUAAUUGCAUUGAAACAGUUUACAUAUUUAUUUACCCUCUUGUGGGUCAACCCUCAGCUUGAGAAUUCGAUUUGUCGCUAUGUUUUUCGCAUUCCCCCAUUUCGGCCUGUGACCCAAUCAAUCACCCCCAAACAUCGCUUUAUUGCAUUGUUUCAUUGGCUAUUAUCCACCGGACAGCUUGGAAAAAUGAACAGCAGUCCACUUAAAUAGCUUCAUGACAUUUAACUUUGAUCGAUUGCCGAGUAAAUACAUCUAACUAUAUUAUA